GAAGGUAUAGCUCAAGGUUGGAGCAAGUGCUUGGCGUGCACAAGGUCCUGGGUUCAGUCUCCAGUGCCUCUG
Molecule: transfer RNA, 72 nt
Filed under: Camelus bactrianus (Bactrian camel)
Lineage: Eukaryota; Metazoa; Chordata; Mammalia; Artiodactyla; Camelidae
Also listed under: 2 other names
Rfam family: tRNA
About the family: Transfer RNA (tRNA) molecules are approximately 80 nucleotides in length. Their secondary structure includes four short double-helical elements and three loops (D, anti-codon, and T loops).
Source: Rfam by way of RNAcentral